GAUGAACGCUGGCGGCGUGCCUAACACAUGCAAGUCGAGCGGCAGCGAGGGGUGCUUGCACCCUGUCGGCGAGCGGCGGACGGCUGAGUAACGCGUGGGAACGUGCCCCAAAGUGAGGAAUAACUGCCCGAAAGGGUAGCUAAUACCGCAUAUUAUCUUCGGAUCAAAGGAUUUAUCCGCUUUGGGAGCGGCUCGCGUCGGAUUAGGUAGUUGGUGAGGUAAUGGCUCACCAAGCCGACGAUCCGUAGCUGGUCGGAGAGGAUGACCAGCCAGACUGGAACUGGGACACGGUCCGGACUCCUACGGAGGGCGGCGGUGGGGAAUCUGCCACAAUGGGCGAAGGCCUGAUGGAGCAACGCCGGGUGCAGGAGGAGGGCCUACGGGUUGUAAACUGCUUUUAUAAGUGAGAAAUAGAACGGUAACUUAUGAAUAAGGAUCGGCUAACUACGU
This 450-nucleotide ribosomal RNA is filed under the name uncultured bacterium. Its description in RNAcentral is "partial 16S ribosomal RNA". It matches the Rfam family "Bacterial small subunit ribosomal RNA", at positions 28 to 506 of the family's 1533-position model. The record is from RNAcentral.